This 221-nucleotide long non-coding RNA is filed under the name Prunus persica (peach). RNAcentral describes it as "long non-coding RNA (PPER_LNC005291)". The record is from RNAcentral. Lineage: Eukaryota; Viridiplantae; Streptophyta; Magnoliopsida; Rosales; Rosaceae.
UUGGUGUUUUGUAUAGUUCUAGGGAUUGUAUUUCACUCAAAACUUACCAAAUGACUGCUUCCACAAUAUUAUGAUGUUCCCCAAGUUUUGGACUCAAUCCGAUAUCGAUUGGUCCUUGAAAUCGGACAAUUCAGGUUCGUACGAUGUCCGUUCUGAAAUGGGGUGGUUGGUGUGUUGUAUAGUUCUACAAAUUGGAUUUCACUCAAACCCCACCAAAUGAC